GAUGAACGCUAGCGGCAGGCUUAAUACAUGCAAGUCGAGGGGCAGCAGGUCCCGCGGCAAUGCGGGAUGCUGGCGACCGGCAAACGGGUGCGGAACACGUACGCAACCUACCCAUAACUGGAGGACAGCCCGGGGAAACCCGGAUUAAUACUCCGUAACAUAUUGAGAAGGCAUCUUCUUACUAUUAUAGUCUUCGGGCGGUUAUGGAUGGGCGUGCGCCUGAUUAGGAGUUGGCGGGGUAACGGCCCACCAAGCCUACGAUCAGUAACUGGUGUGAGAGCACGACCAGUCACACGGGCACUGAGACACGGGCCCGACUCCUACGGGAGGCAGCAGUAAGGAAUAUUGGGCAAUGGACGCAAGUCUGACCCAGCCAUGCCGCGUGGAGGAUGAAGGUCCUCUGGAUU
This 407-nucleotide ribosomal RNA is filed under the name uncultured bacterium. Its description in RNAcentral is "bacterial SSU rRNA". It matches the Rfam family "Bacterial small subunit ribosomal RNA", at positions 28 to 424 of the family's 1533-position model. The record is from RNAcentral.